AACGAACGCUGGCGGCAUGCCUAACACAUGCAAGUCGAACGAGACCUUCGGGUCUAGUGGCGCACGGGUGCGUAACGCGUGGGAACCUGCCCUUAGGUUCGGAAUAACUCCCCGAAAGGGGUGCUAAUACCGGAUAAUGUCUUCGGACCAAAGAUUUAUCGCCUUUGGAUGGGCCCGCGUUGGAUUAGCUAGUUGGUAGGGUAAAAGCCUACCAAGGCGACGAUCCAUAGCUGGUCUGAGAGGAUGAUCAGCCACACUGGGACUGAGACACGGCCCAGACUCCUACGGGAGGCAGCAGUGGGGAAUAGUGGACAAUGGGCGAAAGCCUGAUCCAGCAAUGCCGCGUGAGUGAUGAAGGCCUUAGGGUUGUAAAGCUCUUUUACCCGGGACGAUAAUGACAGUACCGGGAGAAUAAGCUCCGGCUAACUCCGUG
This 433-nucleotide ribosomal RNA is filed under the name uncultured bacterium. RNAcentral describes it as "partial 16S ribosomal RNA". It matches the Rfam family "Bacterial small subunit ribosomal RNA", at positions 29 to 507 of the family's 1533-position model. The record is from RNAcentral.